GCACCGUAUAUUACCCAGAAAAUACAAAAUUGUUCAUAGUGUGAGUUUCCGGUCUGAACGUGAUUUUUUCCACACACAUUUUCAUGCUGCAUCAUGGCGUUUACACACUUUCCCCUGAUGGAUUUUUUGCGCAUGCGCACGAGUAACUUCCGUGAAAAUGGACAUCAACAGUAAAAAAAUGUGCUGGUUACCGGAAGUUCACAAGAACCAGUUAAGCGAAGGUAACACCCUACAACAUGAACAUGAACUGAUCACUGAGACUGCAUUGCGUAUGAAAGACAGUUUUAGAAGACGAAUGUCACCUUCGUCAGAAGCAGAUUUUUACUGCCAGGCUGGCUUUGACCAAAAAAGUUUUGAGAUCAAAUUUAUAUCAGACUAUAAAAACAUCCAAAUGGCUAGCUCAGAUGUGGAAGUGGAAUCGGACCCUUUUAGUUGGGAAUUCAAUGGAAAUUCAUUUGACAGUGAUGAUGAUGAUGAGAUUAAUUCAGCUUGUUGUGAUCCUCCUGGACAUCCAAGUGUUUUCGACAUUGAUGAAGAUUUUGUCAAUCUCUCUCUUGGACCAAACCAAGAAAUGAUGGUUUUAAGAAGAUUAUAGGAUAUGUCAUAGAAUACGAAGACCCCACCACUGGAGGCAGGCUAAUGACUACCCAGUAGAUGAGUGUGUUUAUGAGGUGAAGGGAUUAAAAAAGGACAAGGAAUACAACUUCCACAUACAGGCCAAGAAUCUUGAAGGUUUUUAAAUUAGUGAGUCUAGUGAUGUGAUUGGUCCCAUAACUCCCAAGCCCAAAUACACCAAGGUUUUGCCACCUGGUGUACCAGAGGCUGUCAACAAUUCUAUAACUUAUCUGAAAUGGGAACCACCUAAACAUAAUGGUGGCUGUAAAAUUACAGACUACCUUGUAGAAGAGAGGUUUAAGGGAACAGAGAAAUGAGUACCCCUGCACUGACCCCUCUUUACUGUCACCGAUCUUCCUCAGGACUCAGAGUGGGAGUUUAGAGUUACAGCUGAUAACUUUGCUGGAAACUGUGAGCCCAGUCUGUGCUCACCAGCAUACAAAAUCCAGGAGAAGAUUGAGUCUUUUGCAAUUGAGCAGGAUGAGGAAUCACACCAAUCAUUUGUAAAUGAAAGCAGCAGUCAUGAUGUUGUCAAUGAGAAUGAAUUUUAAAUAGGACAUGAUACAGGGCCACUUUUAAGUGAUGAAGCAGACGAGUAUGAUGAUGGUAAUGAUGAUGAAUCAUACCAUCCUUCAAGCGAUGAAAAAAGCUGUGAUGAAGAUACCAUUAAUGAUCUUGAUAUGCCCAGUAAGCCUCUCAAAUCUGAAAUGCAGCAGAAACAAGCUGCACUUGCAAGUGACAGCGAAAAGGACAGUGAAUGUGAAGAUGAUCAUGAUGAUGUCGGCAAAGUUUUACCACAGUCAGAGAAGCGAAAGACCAGGUUUUUAGAGGCCAAAAACAUCGUCUGGGAACUAUGAUAAUAAAAAACAUUCAUGUCUCUUUUGUGAGAAGUUUUGCCAGCAGGCAGUUGAUGGUAUGCAUAUCAUAUAAGCCCAUAGCUCUUUAAGUACAAAAAAUUGUGAGAUUCAUUUUUGCAUAUAGGUUCAGGAUGGAGCUGAAUAUUGAAAAAAUAUAUCCUAUAAAUUUUUUUUCAUGGACAUGUAGCAGACAGCUGUUUGCAUAAUUUAAGCAAGUAAUUUUUUUAACCAAAAUUUGUGAAAUUUAUCGCUCAUGACCCAUUGUUCAUGCAAGGUUUACCUAUUUAUAUUGACACUGCAACAGGCCCAUAGAACCCCCCCCCCCCUCACUUUUUCUGAGUAUAGUAUUUUGCUAUAGUAAAGUAUCCUUUAUAUCCUGGUUGCCCCUCCCCCCCCCCCCCCUUUUGUUGCAAUAAGGUCGGUUCAGUAAAUAAUGUUUUUUUUUGCUUGUCGGAUAUUUUUUGAAGUCCCCCCUACUUUUGAAACCCUUGCUAUGGGCUGUAAAUUGAAGUUUUAAAAAAUCCUUUACUGGUGAACAUCUAGCAGGCAAACUAGCAGGCAUAAAAUUAAAUAUGAAGAUUAUGAAUAGUAAUCAAACUCAAAAGUCCAUUAGAAUAAUCCAUAUUCGUAGCAGAGCAAACAUGGACCUCUAAAAUUAAUCUUAAUUAAUGCUUAGCCCUCUAAUUGAAGGCUUCUUCAUGUUUCAGGCCCAUGAAAAGGCAGAGUUAGUCAUAAAUUAGAAUGUUUUACACAGUAUUAGCCAG
This is a long non-coding RNA of Saccostrea echinata, 2236 nucleotides long. RefSeq lists it as uncharacterized. Lineage: Eukaryota; Metazoa; Mollusca; Bivalvia; Ostreida; Ostreidae. The record is from RefSeq and is a predicted model, not a curated record. The transcript has 11 exons.